Non-coding RNA from Pelobates cultripes (western spadefoot toad), 3702 nucleotides. The record is from the annotation of a GenBank genome assembly. NCBI's taxonomy places the organism in Eukaryota, Metazoa, Chordata, Amphibia, Anura, Pelobatidae.
AAAUUGGCCAAGAAUCAGAAUUGCAAUGAAAUUGAUCAAAUGUAGGCUCUAUUUUAUAUGUUUAUCUCCAUAACUAUUAAGGCACUAUCUUUACUCAAUGUUGUACUUGUAAAACAUUUGCUGCACAGAGAUGGAUACUACAUGCUGCCUCCCGUUACUAUCCAGUAGAUGUGCAAGGUUAUUGGCUAAAGUGAGCAAAGUUAAUGAACUGGAAGAAUAGAAUAAAGAAAGUUAUCAGUUUUGUUACUUUGACCUUAAAUUUGAAAUGCACUAAUUCCCUGAGAGUGUGGUGUGGGGUCCCUGCACUCCAUAACAAGCUCUUUAUGUUUCAGGUAUCUCACCAGCUUGCUUGGAUAUGUAUUGAUCCUUCAUAUGUUCUACUAGAAUCUUCACAAUGAAAAUAACUAAUACAAAAUUAAAAGGUACAACUUUUUUUGUGCUAUUAUCAGUUACUAAAUUUAUUUCUGUAUCUCUACACAGGUCUAUGCUACAUCUUAAUUUCAGGUGCCAAUCAAACUGAAAAAGAAACCAAAUUAUAACCAAUUUUGAAAGAAUAAUAAAGUUUAAUAUGUAUUCCAAUUAAUUAAUUUUAUUUCAUUUUAUACGUUGUCAUCUCAGAUCAGCCUAGAUCAACUCACUGUUUAAUGAAUAAACUUCAUAGAUUAAUCUUUUUCAGUGUGCCAUAUCAUUUAUUUAUAUAGCACACUGAUAUAAAAUUAAGUCUCUAAAUUAAACACCAUUUAUUAUGCUAUAGGAUCAGUUUACAGAACUAAUACACUUAUCAGCAAAUUCUGGAUUGAUGUUUUAAGUCCUGUUUUGGGGAAAAAAUAUAGGCUGUGAAUUUUUUAUGGCUUUUACUAUUUUAUGUUUUGAAUAUUGAUAUAUAAAUAGAAAGUAUAUUGAGUGUAAAAUAAACAUUGAGAACAAAACUGAUGUGAAAUCUAAGAUACAGUGUUCAGAAUAUAGUGGCAUAUGUACAAAAUACAAUGUACAUAUAUUACACAAUAGAACAUAUUUCAGGAUUAACUCACAUCACAGAGCAUCACUCUUGUCACAAUACACAACAUUUUCUAGUGGUUUAUCCAGCUUCUUAAUUAAGGCCUGUCUUCAGAUAUAUAAAAUUAGAAAAUAAUCCAGGCUCUCCAGUGCGUUAUGUAGAUUAGUGGUGGUUAACCUGGGCAUUCCAGUUGUUUUAAAACUAUAUUCCUCAUGGUGCUAGAUUGUUGAGGAGCGAAAGCACACAGAACCGAUCGAUGCUCUGUACUUUGUGAGUUCAUCCUAGAAUGUUGCUCAGUGAAUGUACAAAAAAUGCAAUCUAUUUAUUUAAAGUGCAUAGUUAUGAUCCUGUAACCUGAGUACUACAUCUUGGAUUGUAAGGUAUAUUUCAGUUUUUUUUCCCCUUGCAUUAUUCAAAGAGUAAUGCAAUAAACAGCGAUUUUUGUCACUGUCAUCACAUUGAUCGUGCGGAUUCACUGUUUUCUGUUCUGUUUUGUAACUAUCCACCAAACUGUGUUUUAUAACUUAUUGUGAUUACUCCCAUCAAUUUAGUGUUGCACUUAAUGUGUUUUUUCCCAUUCUAAUGUCUAUUGAAAGAUCUACAAUUUAAUACAAUUUGUAUUACUCAAUGUUUUCUUUGUAAAGAAGGAACCGCUUCAAAGAUCCUUCACCAUGGUGUUGGAAAUUACAGAAUCCUCAACAGUAUUCAUUACUUUAAUGUCAUUUCUGAGUUGAUCAUUUUGAAUUUAUUCUAUUUAUUAUUACUUUUAUUUUUGCUAUUUAUUAUUUUAAAUGUGUUGUGGAAGUUCCUUUUUAGAAGAGUUCACACCUUCUUUUCUAUUGUAGAUGAAGCAACUGUUGGCUACACGUUAAGAUAUUAAAUAUUUAAAGGAGUACACAGCAUUUUUAUAAGAUGCCCCUAAAUAGACUUGGGUAUACUUGUAAAGACUAUCUUAGCCCUUUAGGUUUUACAGAGUGCAUUGCUGGAGAGUAAGGAACCAAAUGUCUACUUGCGUGCUAACUGCAAACCACUGAUUUUAAAGACACUGCAAGACAACAAGGGGAGUGAGUAACACAGACAAUUACUGGUCUUUAGAACUCAAUGAGGCCAAUGGAAGUGUCUAUAGAAUAAAAACAGUAAGAGUUUCAAAACAGUAAUUCUUAUCCUGUAGCUCAGAAUCUAAAUCUAGGUUGCUGUCAUGCGAUCUUAUUUAGUCCCCAUUUGGUUGUAACAGGCUUAUCUUUGCUGCAAUGCCCAAGAAAACUGCCCAUAAUAUUAAGAGCAGUGGCUCCCAGCCUAGUCUUCAAGGUAAAUCCUUGGUCCAUGUUUUUCCAGUAUCCCUAUAGCAAUGGAAUCCUGGCACUUGGUAUGCCUAAAAGACUCAUUUGGCAACCACUGCAGUAGAGAGGUGUCUGAAGUUUUGUUGUACAAAAAAAUAUUUUUAUAUAACUUUGUUAAAGGAUUGGUAUCUGAGCUAAAUCCUCAGCUAAAGAAGGGUCAUUAAGAAACUUACCAUUUAUGAAGAUCCCUGUGUUAAAAUAAAUCAGCCAUAUAUGGUCAAUGUUGGUGUUUUUUCCAUUCUCUUUCCUUUCUUUUAAAGAAAGUACAUAUAUAUUUUAGAUACUUGCCUUCAGCGAAAUUGGAAUUUUAAUAAUUUGAGCUAGAUUAGUAUCAGGUCUAAUGUUCUCUUUCCUACCCAUAAUUUAGGACAUUGAAAUCUGAAAAAAGGAGGGAGAGUUCCUUAACCGUGUGCCUCCUGGUCACUAUGAAGGUGGCAAAAAAUUGACACCAAGACUCCCUUUGUUAUAUUUAAAAACCUUAAUGGAUCAUUUUCCAUCACUGUAUUAAGUUCAAUAGGUCCAGCUCAUGAAUAAACAUUACAAUUUUAGAGUUUGUACUAUAUCCAAUUAAAUAGACCCAGCUUAUGACUACAUAUUACAUUCCACGUGUUUUGCAUAGAAACUGGCUGAAAUGUUUAUUUUUUUAUGGAUUGCCAGAAGAGAAAUACAGAUAUGGUAUUUCAAUUAACAAGGCCGAAAGUACUCAGGACAGCCUAUCGUAUUUGUAAUCAUUAUGGCAAGGAGAGGGAACCCCUACAGAAGACAUAUAUUUAUAUACAUUAGUAGUAAUGAUUUGGGCUCACAAUUUCAGUCCUAAGCUACUAGACAGGCCUAAACAGUAUUGUCAUUGCAAGUCUGUACAGUCCAUGGCACAUCGACCAAGAGUGAAUUCUUCAUUCACCAAUGGCUAGCAAGUAAUGGGAAAUUUUGAGCCCAAAUAACAAAAUAAGUAGAUUUUUUUUUUUUUUAAUUCAUUCUUUUGAAUUCUCGGGUUCUGGUUUUCUUUUCAUGAUUUACCUUAUUGAUAAAAUUUAAAAAUUGCUAUUGUAUUACUAAGUAUUAUCUAUUUAUUCAAGGCUUUCAUAUGUGUUUUGUGGUUAAUAUGCACAAAUUUAUUAUGAAGUUACACAGAUUACUGCACAGCACUCAAAUAGAGGUUUUCAAAAUGUUGAUUAUACACAGGUAUUGUUACUGGUGCUUUAUAAAAGUUUUUGACACUUAGUGUGAUUUGGUUUUUGUUGUGAAAUUGUAUCCUUUGGGUGUUGGCUUCAAUAAAACACUUUCAUGUGAUUCUCAUUUGUCAUUAAUCACUGCUUCAUUAAAGAAAGACGCUUCUAAAAAUAAUGCAACAAGUGGAAUUCAAAC